AGAGAGUGCGAGCGUUAAUCGGAAUUACUGGGCGUAAAGCGCGCGUAGGUGGGUAUUUAAGUUGGAUGUGAAAUCCCUGGGCUUAACCUAGGAAUUGCACCCAAUACUGGAUACCUAGAGUAUGGUAGAGGGAAGUGGAAUUUCCGGUGUAGCGGUGAAAUGCGUAGAUAUCGGAAGGAACACCAGUGGCGAAGGCGACUUCCUGGACCAAUACUGACACUGAGGUGCGAAAGCGUGGGGAGCAAACAGGGAUUAGAGACCCUGGUAGUCCACGCCGUCAACGAUGAGAACUAGAUGUUGGCCCCCCUUCUAGAAACUAGUAUCUAGUUUCUAGAAGGGGUUUAGUAUCGAAGCUAACGCGUUAAGUUCUCCGCCUGGGGAGUACGGCCGCAGGUUAA
This 398-nucleotide ribosomal RNA is filed under the name uncultured organism. RNAcentral describes it as "partial 16S ribosomal RNA". It matches the Rfam family "Bacterial small subunit ribosomal RNA", at positions 527 to 897 of the family's 1533-position model. The record is from RNAcentral.